AUAAAAAAAAUAAUAAAAAAAAGACCACGCUGCCAGUUCAGCUAAGAUGAGCUUACCUACUUAAAAAAUAAUGAGAAAAAUAAUAAAAUUAAAAAUAAAAUUCCGUACUUUCCAUCUGUUUUCUCGGGAACCAAACAGAUAAGAAAAGUAAAGCAACUUAAAAAAUGUAAUAAAAAAUUAAUUAAAAAAGUAAAAAAGAAAACCUCACUCAUCGGCGGCGAAAAAA
Molecule: unclassified non-coding RNA, 226 nt
Filed under: Hevea brasiliensis (rubber tree)
Lineage: Eukaryota; Viridiplantae; Streptophyta; Magnoliopsida; Malpighiales; Euphorbiaceae
Source: RNAcentral